RNAcentral lists this ribosomal RNA (474 nucleotides) under uncultured organism. RNAcentral describes it as "partial 16S ribosomal RNA". It matches the Rfam family "Bacterial small subunit ribosomal RNA", at positions 335 to 801 of the family's 1533-position model. The record is from RNAcentral.
ACUCCUACGGGAGGCAGCAGUAGGGAAUCUUCCACAAUGGGUGCAAACCUGAUGGAGCAAUGCCGCGUGAGUGAAGAAGGUCUUCGGAUCGUAAAGCUCUGUUGUUAGAGAAGAACACGUGCUAGGUAACUACUAGCGCCUUGACGGUAUCUAACCAGAAAGUCACGGCUAACUACGUGCCAGCAGCCGCGGUAAUACGUAGGUGACAAGCGUUGUCCGGAUUUAUUGGGCGUAAAGGGAGCGCAGGCGGUCUGUUUAGUCUAAUGUGAAAGCCCACGGCUUAACCGUGGAACGGCAUUGGAAACUGACAGACUUGAAUGUAGAAGAGGAAAAUGGAAUUCCAAGUGUAGCGGUGGAAUGCGUAGAUAUUUGGAGGAACACCAGUGGCGAAGGCGAUUUUCUGGUCUAACAUUGACGCUGAGGCUCGAAAGCGUGGGGAGCGAACAGGAUUAGAAACCCCAGUAGUCCCAUGAU